UGAGCUGGGGGUGGCCGCAGAGACCAGCGAGAAGCGACUGUUUACUAAAAACACAGGUCCGUGCGAAGCCGUAAGGCGAUGUAUACGGACUGACGCCUGCCCGGUGCUGGAACGUUAAGGGGACCGGUUAGCUGACUUUCGGGUUGGCGAAGCUGAGAACUUAAGCGCCAGUAAACGGCGGUGGUAACUAUAACCAUCCUAAGGUAGCGAAAUUCCUUGUCGGGUAAGUUCCGACCUGCACGAAUGGCGUAACGACUUCUCGACUGUCUCAACCAUAGGCCCGGUGAAAUUGCACUACGAGUAAAGAUGCUCGUUUCGCGCAGCAGGACGGAAAGACCCCGGGACCUUUACUAUAGUUUGAUAUUGGUGUUCGGUUCGGCUUGUGUAGGAUAGGUGGGAGACUUUGAAGCGGCCACGCCAGUGGUUGUGGAGUCGUCGUUGAAAUACCACUCUGGUCGUGCUGGAUGUCUAACCUGGGUCCGUGAUCCGGAUCAGGGACAGUGUCUGAUGGGUAGUUUAACUGGGGCGGUUGCCUCCUAAAGAGUAACGGAGGCGCCCAAAGGUUCCCUCAGCCUGGUUGGUAAUCAGGUGUUGAGUGUAAGUGCACAAGGGAGCUUGACUGUGAGACCGACGGGUCGAGCAGGGACGAAAGUCGGGACUAGUGAUCCGGCAGUGGCUUGUGGAAGCGCUGUCGCUCAACGGAUAAAAGGUACCCCGGGGAUAACAGGCUGAUCUUCCCCAAGAGUCCAUAUCGACGGGAUGGUUUGGCACCUCGAUGUCGGCUCGUCGCAUCCUGGGGCUGGAGUCGGUCCCAAGGGUUGGGCUGUUCGCCCAUUAAAGCGGUACGCGAGCUGGGUUUAGAACGUCGUGAGACAGUUCGGUCCCUAUCCGCUGUGCGCGUAGGAAUAUUGAGAAGGGCUGUCCCUAGUACGAGAGGACCGGGACGGACGAACCUCUGGUGUGCCAGUUGUCCUGCCAAGGGCAUGGCUGGUUGGCUACGUUCGGAAAGGAUAACCGCUGAAAGCAUCUAAGCGGGAAGCCUGCUUCGAGAUGAGUAUUCCCACCCCCUUUGAGGGGUUAAGGCUCCCAGUAGACGACUGGGUUGAUAGGCCAGAUGUGGAAGCCCGGUAACGGGUGGAGCUGACUGGUACUAAUAGGCCGAGGGCUUGUCCUC
The sequence is a ribosomal RNA, 1174 nucleotides long. It matches the Rfam family "Bacterial large subunit ribosomal RNA", at positions 1763 to 2925 of the family's 2925-position model.